GCGAUCGUAGUCUAGCCUGGUAGGACGCGGCCUUGCCAAGGCUGCAACCCGGGUUCAAAUCCCGGCGGUCGCA
Molecule: transfer RNA, 73 nt
Filed under: Microcaldota archaeon
Lineage: Archaea; Nanobdellati; Microcaldota
Description: tRNA-Gly
Rfam family: tRNA
About the family: Transfer RNA (tRNA) molecules are approximately 80 nucleotides in length. Their secondary structure includes four short double-helical elements and three loops (D, anti-codon, and T loops). Further hydrogen bonds mediate the characteristic L-shaped molecular structure. tRNAs have two regions of fundamental functional importance: the anti-codon, which is responsible for specific mRNA codon recognition, and the 3' end, to which the tRNAs corresponding amino acid is attached (by aminoacyl-tRNA synthetases). tRNAs cope with the degeneracy of the genetic code in two manners: having more than one tRNA (with a specific anti-codon) for a particular amino acid; and 'wobble' base-pairing, i.e. permitting non-standard base-pairing at the 3rd anti-codon position.
Source: RNAcentral